GCCUACGGGAGGCAGCAGUCAGGAAUAUUGCGCAAUGGGGGAAACCCUGACGCAGCAACGCCGCGUGGAGGAUGAAGUCCCUUGGGACGUAAACUCCUUUCGACCGGGACGAUAAUGACGGUACCGGAGGAAUAAGCCCCGGCUAACUUCGUGCCAGCAGCCGCGGUC
This 168-nucleotide ribosomal RNA is filed under the name uncultured bacterium. Its description in RNAcentral is "partial 16S ribosomal RNA". It matches the Rfam family "Bacterial small subunit ribosomal RNA", at positions 337 to 522 of the family's 1533-position model. The record is from RNAcentral.